AGUGAACGCUGGCGGUAGGCCUAACACAUGCAAGUCGAACGGCAGCACAGUAAGAGCUUGCUCUUACGGGUGGCGAGUGGCGGACGGGUGAGGAAUACAUCGGAAUCUACUUUUUCGUGGGGGAUAACGUAGGGAAACUUACGCUAAUACCGCAUACGACCUACGGGUGAAAGCAGGGGAUCUUCGGACCUUUCGCGAUUGAAUGAGCCGAUGUCGGAUUAGCUAGUUGGCGGGGUAAAGGCCCACCAAGGCGACGAUCCGUAGCUGGUCUGAGAGGAUGAUCAGCCACACUGGAACUGAGACACGGUCCAGACUCCUACGGGAGGCAGCAGUGGGGAAUAUUGGACAAUGGGCGCAAGCCUGAUACAGCCAUACCGCGUGGGUGAAGAAGGCCUUCGGGUUGUAAAGCCCUUUUGUUGGGAAAGAAAAGCAGCAGGUUAAUACCCCGCUGUUCUGACGGUACCCAAAGAAUAAGCACCGGCUAACUUCGUG
RNAcentral lists this ribosomal RNA (492 nucleotides) under uncultured bacterium. Its description in RNAcentral is "partial 16S ribosomal RNA". It matches the Rfam family "Bacterial small subunit ribosomal RNA", at positions 29 to 507 of the family's 1533-position model. The record is from RNAcentral.